AUUCUCUCGAAGAAAAUAUUCACUAGCUGGUGAUUUGAAAUGAUUUGAACCCUUUAUUCAUGUUGAAAGAAUCUUACCAUACAAUCAAGACAUUAAGCUUGAGGACCCCCCUCUCUUCCAACCAAGAAGAAGCUGAGUCUACAAGAUCAAGCUGAAGCUGAUGCUGAAAGAUGAAGAUAUCCUAUGCACUCUUCUCUCUUCUGCUCCUGCUAGUCUCAGGUUAUUCUCUCCCCUCUCUUCCAACCAAGAAGAAGCUGAGUCUACAAGAUCAAGCUGAAGUUGAAAGAUGAGGAUAUCCUAUGCACUCUUCUCUCUUCUGCUCCUGCUAGUCUCAGCUGGGUUUAGCCAUGCCAGGGCAAUCCAUGGGGCCAAUGCGGCGAGGAUUCCAGAGCACACGUGCCACAAGCUGCUAAGCAUGAACAGAUGUGACUUGCAGAAAUGUAACCAAGAGUGUUCCCAGGAACCUCUAGGGGUAGGAGAGUGUAGGAAUGCCAACUGUUCUUGCACAUAUUAUUGCAAGCAACCUCCAAUGUAAUGCAUUCCCAUACUGUUGUGUCACAAUGCCGGAGUUUGUAUUCAGGCACGUACAAAAUACACAUUUAGAUCUAGGGCAUCGUCAUGAUGGCAUAAGAUGAGUCUUCACUCAUAUGUAAAGGGAUGCAGUAUUUUGGUACAAAAUCAGCGAAAUGUUUUUUGA
Molecule: long non-coding RNA, 697 nt
Organism: Populus nigra (black poplar)
Lineage: Eukaryota; Viridiplantae; Streptophyta; Magnoliopsida; Malpighiales; Salicaceae
Exons: 2
Source: RefSeq, a predicted model, not a curated record